Macadamia integrifolia is the source of this 1804-nucleotide long non-coding RNA. RefSeq lists it as uncharacterized. Lineage: Eukaryota; Viridiplantae; Streptophyta; Magnoliopsida; Proteales; Proteaceae. The record is from RefSeq and is a predicted model, not a curated record. The transcript has 4 exons.
CGGACCAAGCUUGAUAAUUAUAAUAAUAAAAAAAAAACCCGGAGACCGGACCGAUAGUAGACCGAUGGGAAGAAGAAACAUGAAAGACCAGGAGAUUUUCCCCCUGGCGCCGAAUGCAACAAACGAGAGGAGAAUACUGAAACAGUGAAAAGCAGGGGGAGGGUGCAGUUCGAUUUAAAAAAACAGAGAAGAAGAAGAAGAAGAAGAAGAAGAAGAAGAAGAGGUUGAAUAUGGAUUUAGGUUAUAUUGUAAGAAAAACCCACAAGCAACCACCUUGUUUCGCAUUGGCACUUUUAUGCUUUGGUGAGAGCAUUUGAUCCACAACUGAUUCAAAAACUCUGAUAUCUUCUAGGUAUUUCAUUUUAUGGUGUUUGCUAUCACGAUUGUGGAAAAUGGCUCAAGCGUUAAGUACGACAUUGAGAGGUUCAAUGGGAAGGACAAAUUCAUACUCUAGCGACGAAGGAUGAAGGAUAUUCUAAUACAACAGGUGCAUAGUACAAGAUCUUGACCAGAUCUAGGAAAUUUCUCGGUUUCGGGAGAUCUCGAGACAAGAUGACCCACUAUACAUAAAAAAUGCAAAAUCUCAUAUGAGAUUUUCGAACCAAAAUGUCAGUCAAAUUUUGACUCAGUCUUAGUGAACUUGCAAAUUUCACCAUGGUUUGAAAAAAAAGUCCCCCAAUUUUGGUUUUUGGUGCAAAUUUUUUGCUAAAUAACACCCAAGGGAGCUUGGAGCAAGUGGAUUCAUAGCGCAACAUUAACAUUUGGAGUUGUUUUUCUAUCCAAGAACACUUGAAGGUAACAAAAUUUUCUCAAUAACUUUCUUUUUUCCAAAAAAGCAUGAUGAAUACUUGGUUGUUGAUAGUAUAACAUUAGUUCUGCCAUAUUAUGAUAUGACCAGUGUUUCUGAUUCAAUCGGAGGAAAACUUGAUUCAACAUAAGCAACAAUAUAGUGGUUAUGAUGAUCCGGACUAGCACUUGUUUCAAUACUAGGAGUCUAGGACACUAGGAUGGACAUAAGAGGUACAGGUGGGCAGUAGAGUGAUCGACCCUUCAGACAUUGUACUUUUUUGUGAUAAGACCAACUAUACCAUUGAUACGUGUUGGGCUAAACGUGUUCGACCAGAGUGGGCGCCACCGCUACCUAAUAUCGUUGCAUCUGAGGUACUACAGUAAAGGUGUCUUUUGGUGACAUCAAUUGCUCUUCAUUUGGAGCUCCUUCAUCAAGGCCUGUGUCUCGAGAUGACUACAACUAUUUGCUCAAGCUUCUCCAAAAUUUGCAGCCAUCUAUGUUUCUCCCUCCACAACUACUCUGGCCCAUAGGUACAUGAGUACAUCCGCUUUCCUUCCAUCCACAUCUCCCACUCGUGGAUCAUUAAUUCUGGUGCCUCUUCCCAUAUGACUGGUAUGCCCCUUGGAGAGUUGGAAUUCAUAACCUCUUGAUUGUAGUUUGAUUACUGGGCACAUUCUUUCUAAUCCAACAGACAAAAGAGGGGCGAAGUGUCUGUUUGAAGUGACGAAGGUUAGACCUGAGAAAGUAGAAAGUGUUCCCACGAAGCAGUUCUUUCUAUAAAGAUAGGGAGGCCAAUGGAACGGUUACGAAGUAAGGUCAGCUGACUAAAGAUUUCCCCUUGGGGUUAAUAACCAUCUUUGAAAUCAUUCACCAUCUCUCCUUGUUCCUUGUUAUUGAUAGACACUUAAUUUAGUUCUUCUUUCUUAAAUUUCCAAUGUGCAACUGAAAACGACUGCAUUCUCUUAGUCCUUUGUCCAUCCUUGGAGCAAAAAGAAUUUUUUUUUUUUUUUUUUU